This is a long non-coding RNA of Heterocephalus glaber (naked mole-rat), 3113 nucleotides long. The record is from Ensembl. NCBI's taxonomy places the organism in Eukaryota, Metazoa, Chordata, Mammalia, Rodentia, Bathyergidae.
GUUGAUGAGACAGGAGGGUAAGAAGGGGAACCUUCCUUCAGGCAGAAGAACAGCAUGUGGUGAAGGUGGUGAAGAGCCUGGCCCCUCAGGAUGAGAACACUUCAGUUCCUAUGUGGGAUUUGGAAUAUAGCAGGACAAAGACAGAAGUUGGGAAACCAGACAGGAGCAAGUGACUAUGGCAGUGGCUCAGGGGUUCACAGCUAAGGGGUUGCCUUGCAUCUCAAAGAAGACUUUGGACUUGGACUUUUCAGCAAUGCUGAAACUGUUAAGACUUUGAUGACUCAGUUGGUUGAAUCCAUGGAUGAAGAACAUGGAUAUGGAGGGUCAGCUACACUUAUCUUUUGGAGAUAGGUCCUGAAGUACAUGUGGAUAAAAUAAUAUGAUGUCUAGAACUGGCUUCAAAAUCAUCCAGGAGAGAAGGUCAGAGCUUUGGGAGGCUCGGGAAGCUGUCUGAAAUCCUUGAGCACUGCCAGAUCUUGGAGAUGAAGAGACACAGUUGUGUGGUAUGCGAGGAGAGGAAGCCAGCAGAGAACUGACAUGCCGCAUUCUUUCAGAGCUCCAGCUGGCAAAAGGCUGCAUUCCCUGAACACCACUGCCAAACCUCCCAGGUGGCAGUCUCCACCCUGGGUCCAGUCUUCCCCUGGUGGGGUGGAAAGACGUUCCAGGUCUAUCUUCCCUGUAACUAGAGGUGCUAAGAGGUCAGCUGUGCAGGAGAGUGCCUUAGACUUCUGAAACCUCAGCAACCUUCAGUACAGAAUUGGAUGUAUCUCCCUAGUGCUGUCAGAGGGGAUAUGUAUUUAACAUGCUUAAGAGUUUCUUAGAAUAUUACCCUCCUUCCUGUGCAGUUUUGUGGUUUUUAUCUUUCCUAACGACUUAGCCUUCUGCUUCCUACUUUUGGUUGUUAUUUCUUUUUUCUCUAUAAUUAGAUUCAGGAAAAAAAACCAUCAAAGACUUGUGUCCUGAGAAGUUAGGGAAUCUCCUUGGAAAGAAUCUGAAAAGGAGGAAUUCAAUGUUUGUUGACUGAAUUAAAUAGUUUUAUGUUGAUCUGAAUAGAGAAGUAAAACUAUCAAUAGGGUUUAAAACCCCUGGAUAUCAGGGAAACUAUUACUGAACGUAGUAGACUGUGUGUGUUACUUUAUUUCCAUUUUACAGGUUAAGAAAUUGAAGGUCAUGAAGUUAAAUAAUUCUAAGUGCCCUUUGUUAGUGCUUUAAUUAUCUUUUUAAUCUACAAUAGGGUCACUAUAUCUUUUGGUUUCUCAUUUCUUUUGGGCCAAUAUCUGUUAUUUACAAGCGAUAUUUUGCUCAGAACCUGUCCAUUUCCUACAGUGUUUUAAAAUUUACUGUCCUACACUUAUACCUAGUAUUUGCCUUGGGAUUUAUGUGUUUUAACUUUGUAAAUCAAUUUUAUUAAGGCCUACCUUGCACAUGAUCAAUUAUGCCUGUCUUAAGUGCAUGGGUCUGUGUGUUAUGACAAAGGUAUGGUAUAUGUACCUGUGUAUCAGUGCAUUCAAGACAUAGAACAUUUUUGUCACCCAUAGAAGAUUUUUUUGCUCUUUUAUGGUCAGCUCCCACCUCCAUUAAUCUGUUUUUUGUCAAUUUAGAUAUGUUUUCCCUUUUCUAGACUCAUAUAAAUGGAAUCAGACUGCCAUUCUCUUAUUUGUCUAGCAGUCUUAGAUUGAUCCACACUAUUGGCUGUAUUACAAAUUUGUCUUCUUUUUAUUGCUGUGUAGCAGUCUACCAAAUGGAUGAAUAUACUACAGUAUGUGUAGCAUUCUCUUGCUGUUUUCAGGGAUCACUGUGAAUAUGUAUUAGAUAGGCUUCAUACCAAAUUAUCACAAAACUUAGUGAUUUGAAACAAUAAAAAUAUUUAUAAUCUCACCUUUUUGUUGUGUCAGAAGCUUGGGUGCAGUUUAGCUGGCUGCUUCUGCUUCAUGGUUUCUUACAGAGCUGUGAGCAAAGCAUGGGCUGGGCCGCUCAUUCCUGCACUUGCCAUUAUUUGGUAAGAUGUGGUUUCUUGCUGUCUGCUGGAAUGAAGGCUUCCAUUUUCCUCCUGGCUGUUGGCCAGAGGCAUCACUCAGUUCUUGUCAUGUGGGCCUUUCCAUAGAGACACUCACAGCUUAGCCACUAGCUUCCUUAAAGCCAGUGAGAUAGAGACGGAGAGAAAGAGAGAGAGAGAGAGAGAGAGAGAGAGCGCUCAAACAAUAUGAAAAGCCUAGAAUUUUGGAACUUAAUCUUGGGACUUACAGCUAAUCACUUUUGUCAUUUUCAUUUGCAAGUAGGUCACCAAGUUCAGCCCAUACUCCAGAGAAGGUUAUUUCGCUAAUAUUUGAAUUCUAAGCAGUGGGGAAUCAUUAAAAUCCAUUAAGACAGAUUCUAGGGAGGUAGAGGCUUCCUACUAUGGUAUACAACUGCUGUGAACAUUUGUGUACUAGUGCUGUGGUUUGGAUACAUGUCUCAAGAUAUGUUUCCCAAGGUCCUUGUACUAAGGCGUGAUCUCCAGGAUGAUGCUAUGAGAGGUGGUGGAACACUUAGGAGGUGAGACUUCAUAGCAGGUCCUUAGGUCAUUUGCUGGUGUGUCCUUAAAGGAAUGUGGGACCCUGGUCUCACCUCUCUUUCUGUCUGGCUUUGCAUCUUGUCUCAUGAGAUGAGCAGUUUGUUUUUCAGUGCAUUCUUGCCUUAAAGUGUUAUCCUCUUCAGGGAACCACAGAAAUAAGGCUGCUGACUUUGAACCUCUGAAAUGGUAAGCCAAAAUAAACUUUUUCUCUUAGGUGUGGGUGUAGCUCAGUGGUAGAGUGCUUGCUUAGCAUGCAUGGGGCCCUGGGUUCCAUCCCCAGUACUACAAAAAACAAACAGAUCCCCCCACUUUUCUCUCUAUGAGCUAAUUGUCUUGAGUAUUUCAUUCUAGUGAAAGCUGACCAAUAUAACAUGUCAUUUCUCUUAGGUAAAUGCCUAUGAAUGGAAUUGUUGCAUUUUGUGAUACUUUACUUUCUCUCUCUCUCUUUCCUCUUACAGAGACCAUCUGUAUUGUCAGUCUUUUUAAAAUUUCAGGUAUUAUAAGGAAUGUGAAAAUGGCCAUUAUUGUGAUUGUAGUUUGCAUUUCUCUGAUGAUUAAA